CUACAGCCCAUCAUCAAACUGACUGGACCAGCCACCAACAGAGGGAGCUGUUCUACAGCCCAUCAUCAAACUGACUGGACCAGUCACCAACAGAGCUGUUCUACAGCCCAUCAUCAAACUGACUGGACCAGUCACCAACAGAGGGAGCUGUUCUACAACCCAUCAUCAAACUGACUGGACCAGUCACCAACAGAGGGAGCUGUUCUACAGCCCAUCAUCAAACUGACUGGACCAGUCACCAACAGAGGGAGCUGUUCUACAGCCCAUCAUCAAACUGACUGGACCAGUCACCAACAGAGGGAGCUGUUCAACAACCCAUCAUCAAACUGACUGGACCAGUCACCAGCCUCCUCAUCGCUCCUUCAAUCAGAGGAUCUGUAAUGAUGAACUGACCCCUCCAUCCUGACAACAUAUACACUCCAAUAGAUGUGAAAUAUGCCCAAACAUACUUAGGAAAAUAGCUCAAACACAAAGAUAAAUGUCCAUCUACGCACAUUGGUAUGGAUAUAGACACACCCAGAUAAGUAUUAUCUGAAGGAGACUGGACUGAGUUGUUGUUGUAGGGCUGUGGGUUGAGACUGGGUGUAAGUGAGGGGUUGGGGUUGAGACUGGG
Long non-coding RNA from Oncorhynchus tshawytscha (Chinook salmon), 613 nucleotides. Lineage: Eukaryota; Metazoa; Chordata; Actinopteri; Salmoniformes; Salmonidae. The record is from Ensembl.